AGGACGAACGCUGGCGGCGUGCUUAACACAUGCAAGUCGAACGGAAAGUGCCCUUUCGGGGGUGACUCGAGUGGCGAACGGGUGAGUAACACGUGGGUGAUCUGCCCUGCACUUUGGGAUAAGCCUGGGAAACUGGGUCUAAUACCGAAUACACCCUGCUGGUCGCAUGGCCUGGUGGGGGAAAGCUUUUGCGGUGUGGGAUGGGCCCGCGGCCUAUCAGUCUUGUUGGGUGGGGUGAUGGCCUACCAAGGCGACGACGGGUAGCCGGCCUGAGGAGGGUCGUCCGGGCCACACUGGGACUGAGAUACGGCCCAGACUCCGUACGGGAGGCAGCAGGUGGGAAUAUUGCACAUAGGGCGCAAGCCUGAUGCAGCCGGACGCCGCGGUGGGAUCGGACCGGCCGUUCGGGUUUA
This 413-nucleotide ribosomal RNA is filed under the name uncultured soil bacterium. Its description in RNAcentral is "bacterial SSU rRNA". It matches the Rfam family "Bacterial small subunit ribosomal RNA", at positions 26 to 429 of the family's 1533-position model. The record is from RNAcentral.